GAUGAACGCUGGCGGCGUGCCUAAUACAUGCAAGUCGAGCGAACGGACGAGAAGCUUGCUUCUCUGAUGUUAGCGGCGGACGGGUGAGUAACACGUGGAUAACCUACCUAUAAGACUGGGAUAACUUCGGGAAACCGGAGCUAAUACCGGAUGAUAUUUUGAACCGCAUGGUUCAAAAGUGAAAGACGGUCUUGCUGUCACUUAUAGAUGGAUCCGCGCUGCAUUAGCUAGUUGGUAAGGUAACGGCUUACCAAGGCAACGAUGCAUAGCCGACCUGAGAGGGUGAUCGGCCACACUGGAACUGAGACACGGUCCAGACUCCUACGGGAGGCAGCAGUAGGGAAUCUUCCGCAACGGGCGAAAGCCUGACGGAGCAACGCCGCGUGAGUGAUGAAGGUCUUCGGAUCGUAAAACUCUGUUAUUAGGGAAGAACAUAUGUGUAAGUAACUGUGCACAUCUUGACGGUACCUAAUCAGAAAGCCACGGCUAACUACGU
This 496-nucleotide ribosomal RNA is filed under the name uncultured bacterium. Its description in RNAcentral is "partial 16S ribosomal RNA". It matches the Rfam family "Bacterial small subunit ribosomal RNA", at positions 28 to 506 of the family's 1533-position model. The record is from RNAcentral.